This 372-nucleotide ribosomal RNA is filed under the name uncultured organism. RNAcentral's name for it is "bacterial SSU rRNA". It matches the Rfam family "Bacterial small subunit ribosomal RNA", at positions 526 to 896 of the family's 1533-position model. The record is from RNAcentral.
CGUAGGGUGCGAGCGUUGCCCGGAUUUAUUGGGCGUAAAGGGCGCGUAGGCGGCUCGGCACGUCCGUUGUGAAAUCGCCCGGCUCAACUGGGCGGGGUCGGCGGAUACGGCCGAGCUGGAGCAAGCUAGGGGGUAAUGGAAUUCCCGGUGUAGUGGUGGAAUGCGUAGAUAUCGGGAGGAACACCAGUGGCGAAGGCGGUUACCUGGAGCUUUGCUGACGCUGAUGCGCGAAAGCGUGGGGAGCGAUCCGGAUUAGAUACCCGGGUAGUCCACGCCGUAAACGAUGCGGACUAGGUGUCGGGGGUAUCGACCCCCUCGGCGCCGCAGCUAACGCAUUAAGUCCGCCGCCUGGGGACUACGGCCGCAAGGCUA